RNAcentral lists this small RNA (112 nucleotides) under Marmota monax (woodchuck). Lineage: Eukaryota; Metazoa; Chordata; Mammalia; Rodentia; Sciuridae. The record is from RNAcentral.
GUUAGGCAUGGUGAUGCAUGCCUAUAAUCCUAGCUACUCUGGAGGCUGAGGUAGGAGGAUGAGAAGGAUCUCAAGUUUGAGGCCAGCCUGGGCUACUUAGACCCUAUGUCAA